GGCUUAGUGGUCUAGUAGUAUGAUACCCGCUUCGGGCUUUGCCCUGGAUUUUAUCCAUUGACUGCGGGUGGUCCCGGGUUCAAUUCCCGGCUGAGCCC
Non-coding RNA from Neolentinus lepideus HHB14362 ss-1, 98 nucleotides. NCBI's taxonomy places the organism in Eukaryota, Fungi, Basidiomycota, Agaricomycetes, Gloeophyllales, Gloeophyllaceae. The record is from the annotation of a GenBank genome assembly.